AGUGAACGCUGGCGGUAGGCCUAACACAUGCAAGUCGAACGGCAGCACAGUAAGAGCUUGCUCUUACGGGUGGCGAGUGGCGGACGGGUGAGGAAUACAUCGGAAUCUACUUUUUCGUGGGGGAUAACGUAGGUAAACUUACGCUAAUACCGCAUACGACCUACGGGUGAAAGCAGGGGAUCUUCGGACCUUGCGCGAUUGAAUGAGCCGAUGUCGGAUUAGCUAGUUGGCGGGGUAAAGGCCCACCAAGGCGACGAUCCGUAGCUGGUCUGAGAGGAUGAUCAGCCACACUGGAACUGAGACACGGUCCAGACUCCUAAGGGAGGCAGCAGUGGGGAAUAUUGGACAAUGGGCGCAAGCCUGAUCCAGCCAUACCGCGUGGGUGAAGAAGGCCUUCGGGUUGUAAAGCCCUUUUGUUGGGAAAGAAAAGCAGCAGGUUAAUACCCCGCUGUUCUGACGGUACCCAAAGAAGAAGCACCGGCUAACUUCGUG
Molecule: ribosomal RNA, 492 nt
Filed under: uncultured bacterium
Lineage: Bacteria
Description: partial 16S ribosomal RNA
Rfam family: Bacterial small subunit ribosomal RNA
Source: RNAcentral